GCCGCCUCCCGGACGGUCGCUGGUUUCACGCGAGUGAAGGCAGAGGAAAGUCCGGACACCACAGGGCAGCGCGCCCCGCGAAAGCGGGGGACGGGAACCGCGAGGAACCCGGACGGAAAGUGCAGCAGAGAGUAGUCCGCCGAUGACCCGCAAGGGAACAGGCAAGGGUGAAAGGGUGGGGUAAGAGCCCACCGCUCCGAAGGCAACGACGGAGGCACGGCAAACCCCGCGCGGUGCAAGACAGAACAGGGGAAGGGUCGCCCGCCCGAUCAGGAUCCCCGGGUAUUAGUCGCAUCCCGCGCGAGCGGGGCGCUCCGCGUCAUGCGGGGUGAGAGAAAUGGCCGUCCAGCUCCGACUUGUUCGGGGUGGACAGAAUCCGGCUUACAGGGGGGCGGCACGU
RNAcentral lists this RNase P RNA (400 nucleotides) under Verrucomicrobiia bacterium. Its description in RNAcentral is "RNase P RNA component class A". It matches the Rfam family "Bacterial RNase P class A". From Rfam's summary of the family: Ribonuclease P (RNase P) is a ubiquitous endoribonuclease, found in archaea, bacteria and eukarya as well as chloroplasts and mitochondria. Its best characterised activity is the generation of mature 5'-ends of tRNAs by cleaving the 5'-leader elements of precursor-tRNAs. The record is from RNAcentral. Lineage: Bacteria; Pseudomonadati; Verrucomicrobiota; Verrucomicrobiia.